RNAcentral lists this unclassified non-coding RNA (240 nucleotides) under rhizosphere metagenome. RNAcentral's name for it is "partial ribosomal RNA internal transcribed spacer region". The record is from RNAcentral.
GUAGGUGAACCUGCGGAAGGAUCAUUACUAUUAGCAGAUUUUCUGCUGGGAACGGAAAGCUUUGGAGUGCUUAGCAUUUUCAAAGGGAGUACGCUUUCUAAAAUCCUUGUCUUUUUGCGUACCCAUGUUUCCUCGGUGGGCUUGCCCGCCGGCUGGACAACUUAAUAACCUUUUAAUUCUCAAUCAGCGUCUGAAUAAUUAUAAUAAUUACAACUUUCAACAACGGAUCUCUUGGUUCUG